AGCCUCUUAGCUUAGCUUGUAGAGUGUGCGCUGUAUAAAAGUGGAGGCGUGUUCAUGCGUGGGUUCGAAUCCCACCGAGGUUU
RNAcentral lists this transfer RNA (83 nucleotides) under Echinostoma caproni. It matches the Rfam family "tRNA". From Rfam's summary of the family: Transfer RNA (tRNA) molecules are approximately 80 nucleotides in length. Their secondary structure includes four short double-helical elements and three loops (D, anti-codon, and T loops). Further hydrogen bonds mediate the characteristic L-shaped molecular structure. tRNAs have two regions of fundamental functional importance: the anti-codon, which is responsible for specific mRNA codon recognition, and the 3' end, to which the tRNAs corresponding amino acid is attached (by aminoacyl-tRNA synthetases). tRNAs cope with the degeneracy of the genetic code in two manners: having more than one tRNA (with a specific anti-codon) for a particular amino acid; and 'wobble' base-pairing, i.e. permitting non-standard base-pairing at the 3rd anti-codon position. Lineage: Eukaryota; Metazoa; Platyhelminthes; Trematoda; Plagiorchiida; Echinostomatidae. The record is from Rfam by way of RNAcentral.